AACGCGAAGAACCUUACCUGGGCUCGAAAUGUUAUGGACCGGAGUAGAAAUAUUCCUUUCCCGCAAGGGACCGUAAUAUAGGUGCUGCAUGGCUGUCGUCAGCUCGUGUCGUGAGAUGUUGGGUUAAGUCCCGCAACGAGCGCAACCCUUAUCCCUAGUUGCCAUCGGGUCAAGCCGGGCACUCUAGUGAAACCGCCCGGGAUAACCGGGAGGAAGGUGGGGAUGACGUCAAGUCCUCAUGGCCUUUAUGUCCAGGGCUACACACGUGCUACAAUGGUCGGUACAAACCGUCGCAAACCCGCGAGGGGGAGCUAAUCGGAAAAAGCCGGCCUCAGUUCGGAUUGGAGUCUGCAACCCGACUCCAUGAAGCUGGAAUCGCUAGUAAUCGCGGAUCAGAACGCCGCGGUGAAUACGUUCCCGGGCCUUGUACACACCGACUGUAC
RNAcentral lists this ribosomal RNA (443 nucleotides) under uncultured bacterium. RNAcentral's name for it is "bacterial SSU rRNA". It matches the Rfam family "Bacterial small subunit ribosomal RNA", at positions 958 to 1399 of the family's 1533-position model. The record is from RNAcentral.